Molecule: ribosomal RNA, 872 nt
Filed under: Bacillus subtilis
Lineage: Bacteria; Bacillati; Bacillota; Bacilli; Caryophanales; Bacillaceae
Description: bacterial SSU rRNA
Rfam family: Bacterial small subunit ribosomal RNA
Source: RNAcentral
UACAUGCAGUCGAGCGGACAGAUGGAGAGCUUGUCUGCCCUGUAUGUGACGGGCGGACGGGGGAGUAACACGUGGGUAAGCUGCCUGGCCCACUGGGAUAACUCCGGGAAACCGGGGCUAAUACCGGAUGGUUGUUUGAACCGCAUGGAUCAAACAUAACCUGCGGCUUUUGCUACAUUGUAUAUAUGGACCCGGGAUUAAUUAGCUGGUGGGGGAGGGAAUGGCUCACCAGAGCAUCCAUGCGUGGCCUAACAGGAAGGGUGAUCGGCCACACUGUGACAGAGACACCGCACUCACUCCUAAGGGAGGCAGGGGGAAGGAAUCUUCCUGGGGGAACCAAUGUCGGACGCAUGCCCGCCGCGUGAAUGAUGACUGCUUUCGGAUCAGAACUUUCUGUGGGGAGGAAAGAACGAGGACCGUUCUAAUAGGGCGGUACCUUGACUCGAACAAAACACAACGCCACGCUUAACUACGUGCCACGAGGCGCGGUAAUAGGUGCGUGGGAAACUCUGACCGGAAUUAUUGGCGUAAAGGCUCGCAGGGGUUUUUAAUUUGAGUGAAAGCCCCGGGUCACCGGGGAGGUCAUUGAAACUGUGGAACUUGAGUGCAGUAGAGGAGAGUGGAAUUCCACGUGUAGCGGUGAAAUGCGUAGAGAUGUGGAGGAACACCAGUGGGGAAGGCGACUCUCUGGUCUGUAACUGACGCUGAGGAGCGAAAGCGUGGGAGCGAACAGGAUUAGAUACCCUGGUAGUCCACGCCGUAAACGAUGAGUGAUAAGUGUUAGGGGUUUCCGCCCCUUAGUGCUGCAGUUAACGCAUUAAGCACUCCCCCUGGGGAGUACGGUCGCAAGAUUGAAACUCAAAGGAAUUGAC